AUUGAACGCUGGCGGCAUGCCUUACACAUGCAAGUCGAACGGCAGCACGGGUGCUUGCACCUGGUGGCGAGUGGCGAACGGGUGAGUAAUACAUCGGAACAUGUUCUGUAGUGGGGGAUAGCCCGGCGAAAGCCGGAUUAAUACCGCAUACGAUCUACGGAUGAAAGCGGGGGACCUUCGGGCCUCGCGCUAUAGGGUUGGCCGAUGGCUGAUUAGCUAGUUGGUGGGGUAAAGGCCUACCAAGGCGACGAUCAGUAGCUGGUCUGAGAGGACGACCAGCCACACUGGGACUGAGACACGGCCCAGACUCCUACGGGAGGCAGCAGUGGGGAAUUUUGGACAAUGGGCGAAAGCCUGAUCCAGCAAUGCCGCGUGUGUGAAGAAGGCCUUCGGGUUGUAAAGCACUUUUGUCCGGAAAGAAAUCCUUGGCUCUAAUACAGUCGGGGGAUGACGGUACCGGAAGAAUAAGCACCGGCUAACUACGUG
This 486-nucleotide ribosomal RNA is filed under the name uncultured bacterium. RNAcentral's name for it is "partial 16S ribosomal RNA". It matches the Rfam family "Bacterial small subunit ribosomal RNA", at positions 30 to 507 of the family's 1533-position model. The record is from RNAcentral.